CGGGACACGUGGUAUCCUGUCUGAAUAUGGGGGGACCAUCCUCCAAGGCUAAAUACUCCUGACUGACCGAUAGUGAACCAGUACCGUGAGGGAAAGGCGAAAAGAACCCCGGCGAGGGGAGUGAAAAAGAACCUGAAACCGUGUACGUACAAGCAGUGGGAGCCUCUUAAUGGGGUGACUGCGUACCUUUUGUAUAAUGGGUCAGCGACUUAUAUUCUGUAGCAAGGUUAACCGAAUAGGGGAGCCGAAGGGAAACCGAGUCUUAACUGGGCGUUAAGUUGCAGGGUAUAGACCCGAAACCCGGUGAUCUAGCCAUGGGCAGGUUGAAGGUUGGGUAACACUAACUGGAGGACCGAACCGACUAAUGUUGAAAAAUUAGCGGAUGACUUGUGGCUGGGGGUGAAAGGCCAAUCAAACCGGGAGAUAGCUGGUUCUCCCCGAAAGCUAUUUAGGUAGCGCCUCGUGAAUUCAUCUCCGGGGGUAGAGCACUGUUUCGGCAAGGGGGUCAUCCCGACUUACCAACCCGAUGCAAACUGCGAAUACCGGAGAAUGUUAUCACGGGAGACACACGGCGGGUGCUAACGUCCGUCGUGAAGAGGGAAACAACCCAGACCGCCAGCUAAGGUCCCAAAGUCAUGGUUAAGUGGGAAACGAUGUGGGAAGGCCCAGACAGCCAGGAUGUUGGCUUAGAAGCAGCCAUCAUUUAAAGAAAGCGUAAUAGCUCACUGGUCGAGUCGGCCUGCGCGGAAGAUGUAACGGGGCUAAACCAUGCACCGAAGCUGCGGCAGCGACACUGUGUGUUGUUGGGUAGGGGAGCGUUCUGUAAGCCUGUGAAGGUGUGCUGUGAGGCAUGCUGGAGGUAUCAGAAGUGCGAAUGCUGACAUAAGUAACGAUAAAGCGGGUGAAAAGCCCGCUCGCCGGAAGACCAAGGGUUCCUGUCCAACGUUAAUCGGGGCAGGGUGAGUCGACCCCUAAGGCGAGGCCGAAAGGCGUAGUCGAUGGGAAACAGGUUAAUAUUCCUGUACUUGGUGUUACUGCGAAGGGGGGACGGAGAAGGCUAUGUUGGCCGGGCGACGGUUGUC
RNAcentral lists this ribosomal RNA (1082 nucleotides) under Escherichia coli. RNAcentral's name for it is "partial 23S ribosomal RNA". It matches the Rfam family "Bacterial large subunit ribosomal RNA", at positions 418 to 1506 of the family's 2925-position model. Lineage: Bacteria; Pseudomonadati; Pseudomonadota; Gammaproteobacteria; Enterobacterales; Enterobacteriaceae. The record is from RNAcentral.